UAUACAACCACACGCCCUAGGCUCAUCAGGUAAGGAAGCGACAACUCCUUUGAAGAUAUACCCAUCUUUGAUCUUGAAAUCAGCGAUUGAUUGCUCGAUUGUUGAAUCAUAAGCUAUGUUGCUUCGUGUUGACAUAGCCUGUAAUUUUGGUCGAGUAGAAAUCGAUGGAUUCUUGAACAUACUUGGGUUUCGCGAAGGUGGGUUCGUUGGUUUUCUUGCAGGGAGAGAAAACGACGAUGGGAUUGGAUCAGCUUCGCAUUGUGAGGUUCUGUCCAUGAAGCGUGCGAUGUGUCCUCUUUUCAUGGCGAAUUGAGAAGAAAGGUCUGAGAUUCCGAGGUUUAGAAGCUCUGCUAGACAUUUUCCUGAAGCUUCUAGCUUAUCUGCGUAUUGCAUUAGUGAUCGAUCAUGAAGUUGGAACAUCAUCCCAGCCAUCAUCUAAUAGCUUUGGAAGAAGUUUCUUUAGAGACCCGGUUCCCACAAAAUCCUCCAUCGAGAAAGAAGCCAUGGAAUGUGAAAACUGUAUCAAACUUGAUCAAGUUGAUGAACUUAUAGGCCUAAAUCCCAUCUCAGAAUACAAGAGACGUCCAUUUGCAUGUUAUAUAGUACUAUAAAACAAGUAGAAACUUGUGUCUUUUUGACAAUAUCAAUGGUGGUUUAGUUAAUUUGAUAUUAGAGAACAGAAAGACGUGUUCUUCUAAUAAACUAUUCAAAGAAACAAUCUAUAAACAAUUUCAUGAAAUAGAAAAGCAGCAAAAUAGUUGAUGAUGACGUCAUCUUACUUGCCGGCCUUAACCCCUUGUGCUAUAUUUUAAUCUUUACUAUAAUUUGGGGUUUUAUCUCAAAGCCAAUUGGCAACAGCUAUGUACUCGAUCAUAACAUAUGUUUAUAUUUCUUGAUGCGUGUCAUUAAUCUUGAAUUAUAAAA
Molecule: non-coding RNA, 924 nt
Organism: Lactuca sativa (garden lettuce)
Lineage: Eukaryota; Viridiplantae; Streptophyta; Magnoliopsida; Asterales; Asteraceae
Source: RefSeq, a predicted model, not a curated record